AAACGUCUCUCCUCCUUUCCCACGCAGGCCCUCGGCAGCCCACAGCACACCAGCAACACCGCGGGAGGAGGGGGAGCGCCGUACAUCCCGGCUGGGCGGCUCGGAGCACCACGGCAUCGCGCCUGGUCCUACAUCUCACCUCUAGCGACUGGGCUUCUACGCUAGCCCAGACGUGGUCCUGCACACGCCCCCGCGCCAGAGAUGCCCGAAGCAGAGUAUUGCACCUUCCCUCGCACCUGAACACAGCGAACGCAAUUCAGCCAAGCUCCAUGCUGUUCUCACCUCAGCAAGAGGAAACAAGCCUGUCCACCUCGUCCCCCUGCCAGGCACCGCUCGCUCUCCAAAGCUCUCCGACGCUGCCUGCGAGCGGGGCCCAAGGACGGCUCUGCGCGCUGGCUCCCACCGCCCCAGCGCCUGGCCUGCACAAGUUGAGCAGGGAAAGGGGGGCAACAGGAGAAAACAAGCUACAGCAGCACUAGUGUUAACUUCCUAGGGACUUAGCUUACAGAAACUGGCAUUUUAAAAACUACUGUUUCCUAAAAUACGGUUUUGUUAUAAAUAAUACCAUGUAUGCAACACCUGUAAUCACCUUCUAAAAAACAUACACUACAUGUGCCUCAGAGUACAAAAUUACAACCAGUGUAUACAAUAUGUAUGUUCUGGAAAUCUUGCUUUUCUUUAAGUGAAGAGAGUUCACUCUUAAAGACUUAUAUCCAUUCACACAGGCAGAUAAUUAAACAUGUAAUUAAAAAGUUGUAAUUUCUAAAGGAAGAGAAACAGACUAUGCUCAAUUUAUCACCACUGAAAUCCAUUUGCAUCAACCAUUGCUUUUUUUACACCUUGAUUUUUAGACUAUAAUUUUUUUCUUCUUAACCUCCAGAUACGCACUGUCAAGCAUGGUAGGAUGUAAUUAUGGUCUCUACUAGUAUCAAACUGUGUAUGCAGUAAAAUGCAUUCACAUUUUCAUACCUGUUCCCAAAAUAAAGUUUGGGCUGGCUGAAGAGAGAUUCUCGCUUUAUCUAUGGAACAAAUACUGCUUGGACUAAAGGUGCUCAAGCCCCUCAGUGCCUCUCAAAUAAAUUUCAUGUUUGAAAGGAUGAAGCAAAUGUAACGAGCUAAUUCAUUCUUCAGUCUCUAGCACAUUCAGUACGUUUGCUAUCUGCUGAGACUUCCAGUCAGUGGAAGUCAAGUCUCUUGACUAAUUAUGCAAGCCCUUAAUAUGACACACUCACUUCAUGCAGGUCAGAUAACAGCAGUUAACUCUGUAAAUAGCAAACCAAGCUCUAUCCAAGUCCGUGAAAUGCAGCUGAAAUGCUACAGCCUAUCAGCAGAACAAAUAUACUGGAGUAACACUGCACUCAUGUGUGGUCAUUACCCAAGGAGGCAGGAUUAUAACUGCCUGGAUAACCUUUUAAUGUGAGAGUUAUCUUAUGUAUGUGGCAUUAUCAAAGCACAUAUAUUUCAUUUGUGCAAAACAUUUCAAGGCUAAAAUCAAUUACAUCCUUUAUUUAAGAAGUUAGUAUAUAAUUACAGAUGUCAUUUUUGUAAUGCAGAAUUUUGCUACAAUUUGUAUUAUAUAGGAAGGACUGAAAGAUUCAGUUCUGCAGUUUCCAGGAGAAUCAAGUCCCAAAGUUUUGAUAUUCCUUGUGAAAAUGCAGUUUUUAUGUUGCUAUUAGAAGAGACUGCAAGGAAGAGCUGCAGUAUGCAGAGUAUAGGAAAGGAGAUUUCUCAAAAUGACAUUCUGAGUAUUUUCACUCAAAAUGGUGCCAUUUGUCUUGAUUUGAAAGUCUGUCAUAAAAUGAGAUUCUAACAGUCCCUUAAAAUUUUUCUAAAUCAAAUGCCUUCAGUUACAUGUAUUAUCUCUACAGUUUCCACAACCAUGGCUUUACAUCAACAUUUAGAAGACAAGUCAUAUUCUUUACAGUAGAUUUACUAUCACUUGAAAAAGUCUCCUUACAGGAUGCAGUCACAACGGCCACACAGAUGGCUACAGUGCAGAGUAAAAAACAAGCACCAUUUUGCAGUCUGUUUUCUGAUCAGAACCAUCUUUUGCGUUUCCUAGUCAUUUCCUGAUUAACAAAAUAAUGGACCAUCAUGUACACUAUCAUGUAUUUGUAUUUAGAUACGCUUUGAAUCUGAUCACAGUAUUUAAAAAUAAGUCAACUGUGCAGUAAUUAAGAGUAUUGUUCAAACUAAGGAACAAAACCUGUAAUUCUCUAACUCCAAUUACCGGUUAAUGUCCUACAUACAUAAGUAUGAUAAUGGGCAGUUAUUGGGCAGCUAGUGAAAAUGUUAACUUUUUAUAGCCAAGUUCUGGGCCACAUCACUUUGCUUUCAGAUUACAGACAGGAAGAUCAGCAAAACAAGGCCCUGCCUACAGAAAAAGUCAUCGUUAGGAAAUGAAGGGCAGCGUUUUUCUCAAAGGAGCUAAGUUGCAAUGGGAAAAUGGGACAGGACAGUGACAGAGCUAGAGAGAUCUUUUCACGCCUCACUUUCUAAUUUGAUGAAACUUGCCAUUAUAACCUCAUGACCCCCAAGCCUUUAGCAGCUUUCAGGAACAAUCAGCUAAAGCACAUAACCCCAUCAGGUUAACAAACUACCAGUCUUUCUCCUCUCACAGGCAUCAGGCUAAAGAGAGAGCUCUCCACGUUAAACACCACCACCACCCGACUAAGUAUAAAAGAGCUUGACUGAAAACUUGAAAAGCCCAUUUCCAAAACUGUGGGCACAUCUGGAUAUAUCUAGAUGUUCAAGAAAGAAGAGGGAGGAAGGGGGAGACCUGAGCCGGCUUCAGGAGCCAGCUGAGUCUGCUCCCAGAGUCGUGAGGGAGAAGGCUCAAGAGCAGAGAGGAGUGCAAGAGAGGAGAUUGUGACAUGCUAGUCUGAAUACUUCUAUGUAACAAAUGCUCCAUCUGAAACAGACUUAAAUCAUUCUUAAGAAAAAAGCUACAUAAAUAAUUACAAGUUUUAAUAAAAAAUCCAGGGUGGGAAAUGUCCUUUUGUUUACUAGAUAAAAAAACAAUUAUUUUACUUUUCAGAUGCAUCAAGAAAAAAUAAUUCAGAAAAAUACAUGAAUGUAAUAUUCUUAGGUAUAAGCAAACUGCAUUCUAGAGGUGUAACAAUACAAGAACUGAGAAUCUGGACGUAAGCCUGUUGAACAAAUUUACAGAAAAGAGUGACUGAUCUAGAAGUGAAGAAAAAGAUUAAUAGCUCACAGUAAAGAAA
This is a long non-coding RNA of Dromaius novaehollandiae (emu), 3224 nucleotides long. RefSeq lists it as uncharacterized. The record is from RefSeq and is a predicted model, not a curated record. The transcript has 3 exons. Lineage: Eukaryota; Metazoa; Chordata; Aves; Casuariiformes; Dromaiidae.